Biomphalaria pfeifferi is the source of this 504-nucleotide non-coding RNA. NCBI's taxonomy places the organism in Eukaryota, Metazoa, Mollusca, Gastropoda, Planorbidae. The record is from the annotation of a GenBank genome assembly.
AGAAAAGCCAUUCUGAGUACUUUAUUUACUAAAUGCACUAAAAAUAAUUCCACAAAUCUAAACCACAAACAGAAUUAUAAAAUUAUCUUUCUUAAGCCAAAAUAUUAAUAGGAAUUAUACAGAGCACACAUGGGCUCUAUAUAAUCUUAUCAAAUUAACUACUUUUCUUUUUUGAAAACGAAACCAUUUAAUGUAGUUACACUAUGCCAGAUUGAACGUAUGCAAUUUUAUAAACUUAAGUAUGCCUAUAUUUAGAAUGCUGACAUUAUAUGUAUAUGUGUGUAUAAUCGCAUGUAGAAUAGUCUGGUCUAGAUUUAUCUUAACUAGUUUAGUUUAUUUAGACCUUGUAGUGGUCAAAGAUUUAUGGUACAUGAUAAUUAAUAGUGAUGGGAACUAAACUAAUUUUUUUUAGUUAAACUAAAAAAAAGUAAUUAAACUUUUAGUUAAUCAAUUAGUUAAACUAAACUAAGAAACUUUAGUUAAACUUUUACUAACUAGUUUGAC